This 51-nucleotide non-coding RNA is filed under the name Echinostoma caproni. The record is from RNAcentral. Lineage: Eukaryota; Metazoa; Platyhelminthes; Trematoda; Plagiorchiida; Echinostomatidae.
CAACUGCUGACGAGUCCCAGAACGAAACAGAACAAAACAGCUGUCCAGUGC